CUGCUACAAACAGACCAGAUGUUCUUGAUUCAGCAUUGCUAAGGCCCGGAAGGUUUGAUCGACAAGUUACUGUCGACCGCCCUGAUGUUGCCGGGAGAGUCAAGAUUCUUCAGGUGCAUUCAAGAGGGAAGGCCCUUGCUAAAGAUGUCGACUUCGAAAAGAUAGCAAGGAGAACCCCUGGUUUCACUGGAGCUGAUCUGCAAAACUUGAUGAAUGAAGCAG
Molecule: unclassified non-coding RNA, 222 nt
Filed under: Hevea brasiliensis (rubber tree)
Lineage: Eukaryota; Viridiplantae; Streptophyta; Magnoliopsida; Malpighiales; Euphorbiaceae
Source: RNAcentral